Dunckerocampus dactyliophorus (ringed pipefish) is the source of this 880-nucleotide long non-coding RNA. RefSeq lists it as uncharacterized. The transcript has 3 exons. NCBI's taxonomy places the organism in Eukaryota, Metazoa, Chordata, Actinopteri, Syngnathiformes, Syngnathidae. The record is from RefSeq and is a predicted model, not a curated record.
GGACAACGAAGAUGACGCAAUGACGGUGACAACCAAUGCAACAUGUCCAAAGUUCUUUCCAACAAGUUUGUCGCUGCCAGACAAGGGUUGACGUUGAUCUUUAACAAGAAGUGUGGACCAGACCUAGGACACGCUGGAGGGAUUAUGUCUCACAACUGGCCUGGGAACGCCUUGGUGUCCUCCCGGUGGAGCUGGAGGAGGUGGCCGGAGACCAGGAAGUCUGGGCUUCCCUGCUGAGACUGCUGCCCCCGUGACCCAGACCCGGAUAAGCAGAGCAAAAUGGAUGGAAAUUUGCACCUUAUAUACCCAGGUAAGCCACUUCUGACGUUGUCCCUGGUUCAGGGGUGGAGUGAAACAUUUGUAGCACAAGUCUAGGAUUCAUCUGUGCCUAGCUGCUCUUGAUGCACGGACUCCAGCCUCAGUCUACUCCUGGUGAAGUUCCCCGAAAAUCUUGAAUGGAUUUUGCAUGACAGUCCACUCAAGGCUGUGGUCAUCCCCAAUUGUGCUGGUGCACCUUUUUCUUGUACUCAACUAUAUGAAUAUGACUGAAUACAGCACUAAGCAAUGAGAAAUGACAUAUGAUUGCGUAGCCAGCUGACCCAGACCGAGAGACCAUGUAAAGGCUCAGGAAACCUUUGCAGGUGUUUUAAAUUAAUUAGCCCAUUGGGGUGUGACACCAGGACUUUCCUAAAUUUAACUUAUUCCUAAUUUUCUGGGUCUUUCAUCAUCUGUAAGUCACAACCAUCAAACUUGCAAGAAAUAAAGAUAUGAAAUAAAUAUUUCACUUUCUGAAGUGAGUGAGAAAAAUAUUGAACUUGUGCUUUUCAAAUUUUUUGAGGUGCGCAUCUGUAAAUAAAAACCCCAUCAGCUUACACUUUCA